RNAcentral lists this ribosomal RNA (253 nucleotides) under uncultured bacterium. RNAcentral's name for it is "partial 16S ribosomal RNA". It matches the Rfam family "Bacterial small subunit ribosomal RNA", at positions 524 to 776 of the family's 1533-position model. The record is from RNAcentral.
UACAGAGGUGGCAAGCGUUGUUCGGAAUUACUGGGCGUAAAGGGCGCGUAGGCGGUCUGGUAAGUCCCGUGUGAAAUCCCUCGGCUCAACUGAGGAAUGGCACGGGAAACUGCUUGGCUUGAGUUCGGGAGAGGGAAGCGGAAUUCCGGGUGUAGCGGUGAAAUGCGUAGAUAUCCGGAGGAACACCGGUGGCGAAGGCGGCUUCCUGGACCGACACUGACGCUGAGGCGCGAAAGCUAGGGGAGCAAACAGG